This 363-nucleotide ribosomal RNA is filed under the name uncultured bacterium. RNAcentral's name for it is "bacterial SSU rRNA". It matches the Rfam family "Bacterial small subunit ribosomal RNA", at positions 29 to 418 of the family's 1533-position model. The record is from RNAcentral.
AACGAACGCUGGCGGCAUGCCUAACACAUGCAAGUCGAACGAAGCCUUCGGGCUUAGUGGCGCACGGGUGCGUAACGCGUGGGAAUCUGCCCUUAGGUACGGAAUAACUCAUGGAAACGUGUGCUAAUACCGUAUGAUGUCUUCGGACCAAAGAUUUAUCGCCUAGGGAUGAGCCCGCGUUGGAUUAGCUAGUUGGUGAGGUAAAGGCUCACCAAGGCGACGAUCCAUAGCUGGUCUGAGAGGAUGAUCAGCCACACUGGGACUGAGACACGGCCCAGACUCCUACGGGAGGCAGCAGUGGGGGAAUAUUGGACAAUGGGCGAAAGCCUGAUCCAGCAAUGCCGCGUGAGUGAAGAAGGCCUU